AGUGAACGCUGGCGGUAGGCCUAACACAUGCAAGUCGAACGGCAGCACAGUAACAGCUUGCUCGUACGGGUGGCGAGUGGCGGACGGGUGAGGAAUACAUCGGAAUCUACUUUUUCGUGGGGGAUAACGUAGGGAAACUUACGCUAAUACCGCAUACGACCUACGGGUGAAAGCAGGGGAUCUUCGGACCUUGCGCGAUUGAAUGAGCCGAUGUCGGAUUAGCUAGUUGGCGGGGUAAAGGCCCACCAAGGCGACGAUCCGUAGCUGGUCUGAGAGGAUGAUCAGCCACACUGGAACUGAGACACGGUCCAGACUCCUACGGGAGGCAGCAGUGGGGAAUAUUGGACAAUGGGCGCAAGCCUGAUCCAGCCAUACCGCGUGGGUGAAGAAGGCCUUCGGGUUGUAAAGCCCUUUUGUUGGGAAAGAAAAGCAGCAGGUUAAUACCCCGCUGUUCUGACGGUACCCAAAGAAUAAGCACCGGCUAACUACGUG
RNAcentral lists this ribosomal RNA (492 nucleotides) under uncultured bacterium. RNAcentral's name for it is "partial 16S ribosomal RNA". It matches the Rfam family "Bacterial small subunit ribosomal RNA", at positions 29 to 507 of the family's 1533-position model. The record is from RNAcentral.